UACGUAGGGGGCUAGCGUUAUCCGGAAUUACUGGGCGUAAAGGGUGCGUAGGUGGUUUCUUAAGUCAGAGGUGAAAGGCUACGGCUCAACCGUAGUAAGCCUUUGAAACUGGGAAACUUGAGUGCAGGAGAGGAGAGUGGAAUUCCUAGUGUAGCGGUGAAAUGCGUAGAUAUUAGGAGGAACACCAGUUGCGAAGGCGGCUCUCUGGACUGUAACUGACACUGAGGCACGAAAGCGUGGGGAGCAAACAGGAUUAGAUACCCGGUAGUCCCUGAGCGGG
This 280-nucleotide ribosomal RNA is filed under the name uncultured prokaryote. RNAcentral's name for it is "partial 16S ribosomal RNA". It matches the Rfam family "Bacterial small subunit ribosomal RNA", at positions 524 to 803 of the family's 1533-position model. The record is from RNAcentral.